AGUGAAUAGAUACCCGGGUAGUCCACGCCCUAAACGAUGGAUACUUGGUGUUGGGGGGUUGCCCUCAGUGCCGGAGCUAAACGCGUUAAAGUAUCCCACCUGGGGACUACGGCCGCAAGGCUAAAACUCAAAGGAAUUGACGGGGCCCGCACAAGCAGCGAGGUAUGUGGUUUAAUUCGACGCUACGCGAAGAACCUUACCUGGGCUUGACAUGCUUGAGAAAGAGCCAAGAAACUGGCUCCCUCCUGGCCGCAAGGUCAGGACCCAUCCACAGGUGCUGCAUGGUUGUCGUCAGCUCGUGUCGUGAGAUGUAAGGUUAAGUCCUUGAACGAGCGCAACCCCUUUUGCUAGUUGCUAACCAGUAAUGGUGCACCCUAGCGACACUGCCAGCUAAAAGUUGGAGGAAGGAGGGGAUGACGUCAAAUCCUCAUGGCCUUUAUGUCCAGGGCUACACACAUGCGACAAUGGUCGGUACAACGGGUCGCAACACCGCGAGGUGAAGCCAAUCCCUAAAAACCGACCUCAGUUCAGAUUGCAGGCUGC
Molecule: ribosomal RNA, 543 nt
Filed under: uncultured bacterium
Lineage: Bacteria
Description: bacterial SSU rRNA
Rfam family: Bacterial small subunit ribosomal RNA
Source: RNAcentral